Molecule: ribosomal RNA, 497 nt
Filed under: uncultured bacterium
Lineage: Bacteria
Description: partial 16S ribosomal RNA
Rfam family: Bacterial small subunit ribosomal RNA
Source: RNAcentral
GAUGAACGCUGGCGGCGUGCCUAAUACAUGCAAGUCGAGCGAACGGACGAGAAGCUUGCUUCUCUGAUGUUAGCGGCGGACGGGUGAGUAAAACGUGGAUAACCUACCUAUAAGACUGGGAUAACUUCGGGAAACCGGAGCUAAUACCGGAUAAUAUUUUGAACCGCAUGGUUCAAAAGUGAAAGACGGUCUUGCUGUCACUUAUAGAUGGAUCCGCGCUGCAUUAGCUAGUUGGUAAGGUAACGGCUUACCAAGGCAACGAUGCAUAGCCGACCUGAGAGAGUGAUCGGCCACCCUAGAACUGAGACGCGGUCCAGACGCCUACGAGAGGCAGCAGUAGGGAAUCUUCCGCAAUGGCCGAAAGCCUGACGGAGCAACGCCGCGUGAGUGAUGAAGGUCUUCGGAUCGUAAAACUCUGUUAUUAGGGAAGAACAUAUGUGUAAGUAACUGUGCACAUCUUGACGGUACCUAAUCAGAAAGCCACGGCUAACUACGUG